GAGCUCUGGUUUCUCUUCAGAACGAACAAAUCUUUCGCCUUUUACUAAAGAUCUCCGUGGAGAGGAGCCAAACCGAGUUUUACAAAUCCUUGGAGUGACGCCCACCAAUCUGGGCU
Small nuclear RNA from Pseudophryne corroboree (corroboree frog), 116 nucleotides. RefSeq annotates it as U5 spliceosomal RNA. NCBI's taxonomy places the organism in Eukaryota, Metazoa, Chordata, Amphibia, Anura, Myobatrachidae. The record is from RefSeq and is a predicted model, not a curated record. The transcript has a single exon.